This is a long non-coding RNA of Cucumis melo (muskmelon), 589 nucleotides long. RefSeq lists it as uncharacterized. The record is from RefSeq and is a predicted model, not a curated record. The transcript is spliced from 2 exons. NCBI's taxonomy places the organism in Eukaryota, Viridiplantae, Streptophyta, Magnoliopsida, Cucurbitales, Cucurbitaceae.
AUGCGCAUGUAAGUUAUACCCUUAUUAAUUAUCCACUUUUAUUAUAUAUUUUUGCGCGUUACCUAACAUAAUUUUUAAAUUUGUUGCAGAAUCAAAUGCUGGAACUCCAAUCCCAGCCUACCCCAGAGGGUAGUCAGCCACUCUCUGAGGAUGAGAUAUGCGAUCAGGUGUUGGGUAGACGACCAGGCUACUCAAAAAGCCUUGGUUGGGGACCCAUGCCGAAGGCCCGCAGAACGGCAAGUGCAAGCAGUUCGUCGACAUCUUGUUCGCAAUCCACACAAAAAGAGAUUGAAUUACAAGCUAAACUUCAUGAAGCUUUGGAACGGAUUGAAGUACAAGAUAGAAAUCACCAAGCAUUAGCUUCACAAGUGGAAGCUAUGAAAAAGAUGAUUGAAGACCUAACUCGUGCACAACAGGGACCACCACAUGAUCCCUAGCUCUGCGGACCGAAGGUGUAGAAUGACGCGCAUACGCACCUCGUUGGGAGAUUUUUCAUUAUGUUUAUGUUUUUUCUAUUUUGAGAACUAUAUUUUGUUGUAGUCAACUUAUUCGUAUUAUUAAUUUUAAUUCUAUUUUUUUAAUUUGUGUU